This 66-nucleotide transfer RNA is filed under the name Octopus cyanea. RNAcentral describes it as "tRNA-Tyr". The record is from RNAcentral. Lineage: Eukaryota; Metazoa; Mollusca; Cephalopoda; Octopoda; Octopodidae.
UGUGAGGUGGUCGAAGUUAAUAGUCGGUAGAUUGUAAAUCUAUUUAUAAGUGUUUUACUUUCUCAU